GUAGGGUGCAAGCGUUAAUCGGAAUUACUGGGCGUAAAGCGUGCGCAGGCGGUUUUGUAAGACAGGCGUGAAAUCCCCGGGCUCAACCUGGGAAUUGCGCUUGUGACUGCAAGGCUUGAGUGCGGCAGAGGGGGAUGGAAUUCCGCGUGUAGCAGUGAAAUGCGUAGAUAUGCGGAGGAACACCGAUGGCGAAGGCAAUCCCCUGGGCCUGCACUGACGCUCAUGCACGAAAGCGUGGGGAGCAAAC
Molecule: ribosomal RNA, 247 nt
Filed under: uncultured Hydrogenophaga sp.
Lineage: Bacteria; Pseudomonadati; Pseudomonadota; Betaproteobacteria; Burkholderiales; Comamonadaceae
Description: partial 16S ribosomal RNA
Rfam family: Bacterial small subunit ribosomal RNA
Source: RNAcentral